UCCGAAAUGGUCCAGUGGUCAGGAUCUCACGCUCUCACCGUGAUGGCCGGGGUUCAAUUCCCCGUUUCGGAG
RNAcentral lists this transfer RNA (72 nucleotides) under Tieghemiomyces parasiticus. It matches the Rfam family "tRNA". Rfam says of the family: Transfer RNA (tRNA) molecules are approximately 80 nucleotides in length. The record is from Rfam by way of RNAcentral. Lineage: Eukaryota; Fungi; Kickxellomycota; Dimargaritomycetes; Dimargaritales; Dimargaritaceae.